Non-coding RNA from Chelonoidis abingdonii (Abingdon island giant tortoise), 2354 nucleotides. The record is from RefSeq and is a predicted model, not a curated record. Lineage: Eukaryota; Metazoa; Chordata; Testudines; Testudinidae.
CGGGCUCAAUGGGAGUGAUCAAUGGCUGGAUGUCUAGUUGGCAACCAGUAUCAAGCGGAGUGCCCCAGGGAUUGUAGAGGUAGAAAUCCUAAAGCCAUCUUGGAUCCUCUAAAGGACAACUAGGCAUCCAUGUUUGUGAGCCUUCUUGUUUCCUCCCCACUCCAAUUUGGCACCUUUUCCAUGUUUAGGUGGGAAAGACAGUGGCUGUCAAUCAUCUAAUCUGCGUAGUAACCAAAAGUCUAUAUAAGGCGGUGUUCAGAUCAGAUCAGGGCUGCCCGUCUGCGUGGCAGAAUGCAGAACAGACAAGGGUAGGCCAUUUGGCCCACAUGGGCUACUUUAAGUAGGGGAUUAUUCACUCACACACAUUUAAUCCAUCUUUUGUAAGAUUCGCUUACUGCACGCACAACGACGCAGGUAGAGGGAGGGGGAGUUCAACAACUUACCUGAAAGAAGCUUGUCUGGCCCUCUUUUAAAUCCUUCUUCCAUCCAGGGGAUCCAGUGGUCCUGGCGUGCUGUACCAACCUAAGAGAAAAAGGACAUCAGUACUUCAAGCUGCUAGAGAUGUGUUUUGCAGUGAUCUUCCUUCAAGCAGUGAACAGGCCUCCCCCCUGGAGAUGCAUCCAUGAUGCUGCAUAAGUAGCCAGGGAGUUUGCAGCAGAGCAACACAAGUUGUAACUUCCCACAAAGUGAUGGAAAGUGCUGCCCAUUCAACUCCAGGAGUGAGAGAGUGAAUACAACUCUCUUGAGUAGCAGCAUACACUACCAGCAAUAUGCUUGUCCUUUAUCCAGCACAUCAGCAGGACUGAGAAGAAUGUUAAACACUAGCUACUAUUUUCCUACUUUCUCUUUUUGACAUUCAAGCAUAUUGGGUGGCAGUUGAUUGCUCUCUUCCAUUUCAGAAGUGGCUGCAUUUCAGGGAUGUCCUACAUUCCUGUAUCCUACUACCCUUACUUGCAGGACUAGUCUCAUUGAGAAAAUGAACACUUGAGUGCCCAGAUACUAUACCGAUAAGUAGAACUGGGCAACUUUUUUUUAUUUUUGGUGAAUAGUAAACCAAAACAUUGCAAAUUUGACAUGAAAUUGCUGACUAGUUUCAGCCAAAAUCUUUGUUUUCAGGAUUGAGAUGCCAUUAACAAAAUGGCUGGAGGAUGAGACAGUGGUAGUGCCUGCCUUGUAAAGUGUAGCUCUGCGUACUCACCUAAGAUAUGGAAUAGGAGUCAGGUUCAAUUGCCCCCUCUAUCUGAUCUGAAGAAGGGAUUUAAACUUGGAGCUCACAUACAGCAGAAAAGUUCCCUUACUCCUGGGACUAUUGAAUAGUCUGGAGUGGGUCUUUCUCAGUCUCUACCGUUGAAGUGGUUCCACUUUGUAUAACUAAUUAGUCAUUGGAGGUUGGGACAAAGAGAGUGAAAAUGACUAUGCAGCCAAGUGGUUAGGGCACUUUUCUGCAAUGUGGGGCACCCAAGUUCAAAUCACUUCUCCAUAUCAGUAUUAGGAGGGAACUGAAUGUCUCUCCCCCGCAUCCCAGGAGAGUGCCCUAACUACUAGGUUAAUGCUUCUAAGGGAGGUGGCACCAUCACCCCUACUUCCUCCUUUUAAAGAUAUCUGGAAACAAUGUUUCCUUCAACCCAAAACAGACUUUUUCAGUUCACCAAAGUUUUUCAGAGUUUCCAAAUUCGAGCAGACCCAAAUUUAUUUUGUUUUUUGGAACUGCUGGUGACCUGAUAAAUAAUUAUUCACCCAGCUCUACUGAUAAGGGCCAAUGUAAGUACCUACAUAGAAGUGACCAGAGCUCAGGUUGUAAUUUAUUAAAUGAAUUGGGAUCCUUUAUAAUGAAGGGUUCUACGUGCAUGUAAAGAAUUAUUACUCAUUUUUAUCAGUAUAUUAAAGCAGAUUAAAAAUGCUUUCUGGCUUUGAUGGAGGUUCCUGGAAUCUUUGCAAGAUCAUACAAUAUGUAAAUUCAAAGAAAGCGAAGUUGAGAGCAUCUUGUAUCAUACACUGAUUUAAGCAUCAUUUCCUUCUGUUCUUUUGCUACUGUACACUGUGGAAUAUUUGAUUUAUUAGAAAUUAAUUGUGAGGUAAACGGAACUCAGAAUUGGAUAAUACAAUUUUUAUAGCAUAUCUGACUGGAAAAUGGAAAUCUUAUCAGAGAAAGCAGCAUGAUGGGGCAAGAGCAGCUAUUUUGCGUAAAUGUGUUAUUUUACCCUGAACAUUAAGACAAAAAAAAAAUAAGGUCCAUAUUGCAGAUGUAAUUUACAAUACAAUAUUUUUCUUGUUUCCUGGUGAGGGUUUCUCUAAAAUUACCCAGUCUUGUUUUUUGUUUUUGUUUUUUACAAUAAAGUGUGAGCGAAUUUGAA